UGCCCUUCCCUGGCUCAGCGCCCGGUGCCAACAGAACACCUUGCAGGAUCCUCAGCAGCGCAGACAACACAACCUGGAUGCUCAAGAGCAGAGGAUCUAUCAACUGCAGACCAAGCAGAGGCAGAGGCAGGCAGAACCGGAGCAGUAAUGCAGCCAGAUCCAGCAGCUCAGCCAGGAGCUGGAGGCCACCGCCAGCUGCAGGAGGAAGCUCGGACACAGCGUGACUGAGGAAAAUCACAACAUCAGCUGCAUGUAAGAAACUCCUGGAAAGAAGAACAAAGCCAUCUGUUCUCCAUGUCCAUGAAGGCACGCACAAGAACUAAUGGGCGUAUCCUGCAUCAAGAAAGAUUCAGGUUAGGAACAGCUUCUAAUGGAGAGGAGAACAAAGCAGAUGAACAGACUGCCAGGGGCCUGAGGUUUCUGCAUCACAGGAGAUCUUCAAGGACAGAUGAACAGAAGACAAGGCACCUGUAGGUUCGCCUGUCACAGAACUGGAGGAUGGGCCAUCAACCUCGUGAGAUUCAUGCCAGCCUUGCUCAUUUCCUAAACCCAGCUUUGUUCAUACCCUGAAACCCAGCUGUCUUCUUCAGAGCCCUGCUGUAGAGUCUCCUCUAGCGUUCGUGUGCUAUCAACGUAUCGUUUGCCAGGGUGAUUCUUCUCUCUAGAAAAGUGACUGCGCUUGAGUCUUGGAUGGAUGCUUGCUUCCUACUGUGGGUCACCUAACCUCCAGGAGACUCAACGCCUGCUUUGUGCUUUAGAUGGUGUCCUAUCUCAAGCUGUGUUGCCCAUGUUCCUGUGCUGGAUAGCAGUGUUGAUCUGUGGGAUUGUUCUUCCCUCUUUCUUGGCACCUCAUUCCUAUGCUUCUGCAGGCUCGUUCACAGGAGACUGGCUGAGGAGCACACUCAUUUGAUGUUUUCUCAGGUGGAGGAAGUGGCAUCCCUGAAGGCAGAGCUGGCCCAAGCCCACAAAAAGAAUGCCAAGCAGAAGGAGACAGUUGCCGCCUAUGAGGAAGAGAGGCAACAGUUCCACAGGGAGGUGAAGAAGCUGGAGAGGGCCCAGGAGCAGAGGCAGCUGGAGCCUCCACAGGGCAGCAACCUGACUGCACGAGCCCUGCAGAACUCAGCAGGGCUGUCUCUGCCUGGAACUCACCUCCAGGAUGAGAAGUGACACAAAACAACAGAAGGGUUAAAGACUGACAACCUUUAAACAAAUAAAAUUGUUUCUGUUCUGUAACA
This 1235-nucleotide long non-coding RNA is filed under the name Numida meleagris (helmeted guineafowl). RNAcentral's name for it is "lncRNA (ENSNMEG00000005483.1)". The record is from RNAcentral. Lineage: Eukaryota; Metazoa; Chordata; Aves; Galliformes; Numididae.